Molecule: ribosomal RNA, 1447 nt
Filed under: uncultured organism
Description: SSU rRNA
Rfam family: Bacterial small subunit ribosomal RNA
Source: RNAcentral
GCUGGCGGCAUGCCUUACACAUGCAAGUCGAACGGUAACGCGGGGGCAACCCUGGCGACGAGUGGCGAACGGGUGAGUAAUACAUCGGAACAUAUCCUGUAGCGGGGGAUAACCUGUCGAAAGAUAGGCUAAUACCGCAUACGAUCUACGGAUGAAAGCGGGGGACCGCAAGGCCUCGCACUAUAGGAGUGGCCGAUGUCGGAUUAGCUAGUUGGUGAGGUAAAGGCUUACCAAGGCGACGAUCCGUAGCUGGUCUGAGAGGACGAUCAGCCACACUGGAACUGAGACACGGUCCAGACUCCUACGGGAGGCAGCAGUGGGGAAUUUUGGACAAUGGGCGCAAGCCUGAUCCAGCCAUGCCGCGUGAGUGAAGAAGGCCUUCGGGUUGUAAAGCUCUUUCGGCGGGGACGAAACGGAUCGCACUAACACUGCGGACUAAUGACGGUACCCGCAUAAGAAGCACCGGCUAACUACGUGCCAGCAGCCGCGGUAAUACGUAGGGUGCAGGCGUUAAUCGGAAUUACUGCGCGUAAAGCGUGCGCAGGCGGUCUGUUAAGACAGGUGUGAAAUCCCCGAGCUCAGCUUGGGAAUUGUGCUUGUAACUGGCACGCUAAAGUGUGACAAAAGGGGGUGGGAAUUCCACGUGUAGCAGGAAAAUGCGUAGAUAUGUGGAAGAACACCGAUGGCGAAGGCAGCCCCCUGGGUUAACACUGACGCUCAGGCACGAAAGCGUGGGGAGCAAACAGGAUUAGAUACCCUGGUAGUCCACGCCCUAAACUAUGUCAACUAGUUGUCGGGGAAGAAAUUCCUUGGUAACGAAGCUAACGCGUGAAGUUGACCGCCUGGGGAGUACGGCCGCAAGGUUAAAACCCAAAGGAAUUGACGGGGACCCGCACAAGCGGUGGAUUAUGUGGAUUAAUUCGAUGCAACGCGAAAAACCUUACCUACCCUUGACAUGCCAAGAACCUCGCAGAGAUGUGAGGGUGCCCGAAAGGGAACCUGGACACAGGUGCUGCAUGGCUGUCGUCAGCUCGUGUCGUGAGAUGUUGGGUUAAGUCCCGCAACGAGCGCAACCCUUGCCAUUAGUUGCGACAUUUAGUUGAGCACUCUAAUGGGACCGCCGGUGACAAACCGGAGGAAGGUGGGGAUGACGUCAAGUCCUCAUGGCCCUUAUGGGUAGGGCUUCACACGUAAUACAAUGGUCGGUACAGAGGGCUGCCAACCCGCGAGGGGGAGCUAAUCCCAGAAAGCCGAUCGUAGUCCGGAUUGUAGUCUGCAACUCGACUGCAUGAAGCCGGAAUCGCUAGUAAUCGCGGACCAGCAUGUCGCGGUGAAUACGUUCCCGGGUCUUGUACACACCGCCCGUCACACCAUGGGAGUGGGUUCCACCAGAAGUAGUUAGCCUAACCGCAAGGAGGGCGAUUACCACGGUGAGAUUCAUGACUGG